This 292-nucleotide ribosomal RNA is filed under the name uncultured bacterium. RNAcentral's name for it is "partial 16S ribosomal RNA". It matches the Rfam family "Bacterial small subunit ribosomal RNA", at positions 505 to 796 of the family's 1533-position model. The record is from RNAcentral.
GUGCCAGCAGCCGCGGUAAGACAGAGGGUGCAAACGUUGUUCGGAAUUACUGGGCGUAAAGCGCGUGUAGGCGGCUAUGCAAGUCGGGCGUGAAAGCCCUCGGCUCAACCGAGGAAGUGCACUCGAAACUGCGUAGCUAGAGUCCCGGAGAGGAAGGUGGAAUACUUGGUGUAGAGGUGAAAUUCGUAGAUAUCAAGUGGAACACCGGUGGCGAAGGCGGCCUUCUGGACGGUGACUGACGCUGAGACGCGAAAGCGUGGGGAGCAAACAGGAUUAGAAACCCUCGUAGUCC